ACUCAAAGGAAUAGACGGGAGCUCGCACAAGCGGUGGAGCGUGUGGCUCAAUUCGUCGCUAAACGAAGAACCUUACCAAGAUUAGAAAUCCAACUGCACGCCUAGCGAAAGCUAGGAAGCCUUCGAGGGUGUUGGACAGGUGAUGCACGGCUGUCGUCAGUUCGUGGUUUGAAUCGUUCCCUUCAGUGGGGUAACGAACGCAACCCUCGUUGCCAGUUACAAGUGUCUGGCGAGACUGCCCCCUCACGGGGGAGGAAGGUGAGGAUGACGCCAAGUCAGCGUGUCCCUCUGAUAUCUUGGGCCGCACACGCGCUACAAUCGCCGUUACAAAGGGGCGCAAUGUCGCAAGACGGAGCAAAUCCUUAAAAGCGGCGUCAGUUCGGAUUGGAGUCUGCAACUCGACUCCAUGAAGCUGGAAUCGCUAGUAAUCGUAGGUCAGCUAUACUACGGUGAAUACGUUCUCGAGCUUUGUACACACCGCCCGU
This 485-nucleotide ribosomal RNA is filed under the name uncultured bacterium. RNAcentral's name for it is "partial 16S ribosomal RNA". It matches the Rfam family "Bacterial small subunit ribosomal RNA", at positions 899 to 1397 of the family's 1533-position model. The record is from RNAcentral.